AUACGGAGGGUGCAAGCGUUAAUCGGAAUUACUGGGCGUAAAGCGCACGCAGGCGGUUUGUUAAGUCAGAUGUGAAAUCCCCGGGCUCAACCUGGGAACUGCGUCUGAUACUGGCAAGCUUGAGUCUCGUAGAGGGGGGUAGAAUUCCAGGUGUAGCGGUGAAACGCGUAGAGAUCUGGAGGAAUACCGGUGGCGAAGGCGGCCCCCUGGACGAAGACUGACGCUCAGGUGCGAAAGCGUGGGGAGCAAACAGGAUUAGAUCCCCUGGUAGUCCACGCCGUAAACGAUGUCGACUUGGAGGUUGUGCCCUUGAGGCGUGGCUUCCGGAGCUAACGCGUUAAGUCGACCGCCUGGGGAGUACGGCCGCAAGGUUAAAACUCAAAUGAAUUGACGGGG
Molecule: ribosomal RNA, 396 nt
Filed under: uncultured bacterium
Lineage: Bacteria
Description: partial 16S ribosomal RNA
Rfam family: Bacterial small subunit ribosomal RNA
Source: RNAcentral